UACAGAGGGUGCAAGCGUUAAUCGGAAUUACUGGGCGUAAAGCGUGCGUAGUCGGUUAUCUAAGUCGGAUGUGAAAUCCCCGGGCUCAACCUGGGAAUUGCAUUCGAUACUGGAUAGCUAGAGUUCGGCAGAGGGAAGUGGAAUUCCUGGUGUAGCGGUGAAAUGCGUAGAUAUCCGGAGGAACACCGGUGGCGAAGGCGGCUUCCUGGACCGACACUGACGCUGAGGCGCGAAAGCUAGGGGAGCAAACGGG
Molecule: ribosomal RNA, 253 nt
Filed under: uncultured bacterium
Lineage: Bacteria
Description: partial 16S ribosomal RNA
Rfam family: Bacterial small subunit ribosomal RNA
Source: RNAcentral